RNAcentral lists this ribosomal RNA (261 nucleotides) under uncultured bacterium. Its description in RNAcentral is "partial 16S ribosomal RNA". It matches the Rfam family "Bacterial small subunit ribosomal RNA", at positions 29 to 291 of the family's 1533-position model. The record is from RNAcentral.
AUUGAACGCUGGCGGAAUGCUUUACACAUGCAAGUCGGGCGGCAGCGCGGGGGCAACCCUGGCGGCGAGCGGCGAACGGGUGAGUAACACAUCGGAACGUACCCUGUCGUGGGGGAUAACGAAUCGAAAGAUUCGCUAAUACCGCAUACGACCUGAGGGUGAAAGCGGGGGAUCGCAAGACCUCGCGCGAGAGGAGCGGCCGAUGGCGGAUUAGCUAGUUGGUGAGGUAAAGGCUCACCAAGGCGACGAUGGGUAGCUGGU